This 1998-nucleotide ribosomal RNA is filed under the name Triticum aestivum (bread wheat). RNAcentral describes it as "partial small subunit ribosomal RNA". The record is from RNAcentral. Lineage: Eukaryota; Viridiplantae; Streptophyta; Magnoliopsida; Poales; Poaceae.
AUGUGUGAUGUACCAGCCCUACUCACGCCAAAGAAAGAUGGAUCUUGGCGCAUGUGUACGGACAAUAGAGCCGUUAACAAGAUCACCGUAAGGUAUAGAUUCCCUAUUCCCCGUCUGGAUGAUAUGUUGGAUCAUCUUAGUGGAUCAAGAGUGUUCACAAAGCUAGAUUUAAGAAGUGGAUAUAAUCAAAUCUGUAUAAGACCUGGGGAUGAAUGGAAGAUCGCCUUUAAGACAAAGGAAAGGUUGUUUGAAUGGCUAGUCAUGCCAUUUGGACUCUCAAAUGCACCAAGUACCUUUAUGCACUUAAUGAAUCAAGUCCUUAGACCAUUCUUAUCCCACUUUGUUGUGGUCUAUUUCGAUGACAUCUUGAUCUAUAGCAAGGAUGAGGAUGAACACUUUGAUCACAUUUGGAAGGUGCUAGAAGUACUAAGGGAAAAUGAGCUAUACGUCAACUUGAAGAAAUGUGUUUUCCUACAAACACAACUUCUUUUCCUAGGAUUCGUCAUAACAUGUGACGACAUUCGUGUUGAUGAUUCUAAGGUUGAAGCAAUCCGAGAAUGGCCAACUCCUAAGACCAUUUCUGAGGUAAGAAGCUUUCAUGGCCUUACAACUUUCUAUAGGCGAUUUGUGAAUAAUUUCAGCACUAUCAUGGCACCAAUUACCGAGUGUUUGAAGAAAGGAAAGUUCCAAUGGACAGAAGCAACUGAAGCUAGUUCCAAUGAGAUUAAACAAAAGCUAUCACAAGCUCCUGUCUUGGUACUACCUGAUUUCAACAAGACUUUUGAGUUGGAGUGUGAUGCAAGAGGAGUAGGCAUUGGAGUUGUCCUAUCUCAAGAAAGGAAGCCCAUUGCUUUCUUUAGUGAGAAGUUAAGUGAAGUUACACAGAAAUGGAGUACCUACCAGCAAGAAUUAUACGCCGUUUUCAGAGUGUUGAAAACUUGGGAAGUCUAUUUGCUGCCUAAAGAGUUCAUUGUUUAUAGCAACCAUCAGUCCUUGAAGCAUUUUAGAAAUCAAAAGCAUGUUGACCGCAUGCUAGCAAGAUGGGCAGCAUAUCUGGAGAGGUUUAACAAUCUCAUCGUGCAUAAAUCUGGAAUAACUAACAUAGUGGCCGAUGCUUUGAGUCGUCGUGCAUGCCUCUUGACUUCUUUUGAAGCUGAACUUCUGGGCAUGGAUCAAAUAAAGGAGUUGUAUGAGGGUGACAAAGACUUUGGCCAUGUUUGGGUAAAGCAUGCAAGGGGCCAACCAUUAGGUGAUGACUAUUUGAUGCAAGAUGGAUAUCUCUUCAAAAAUGAUCAUUUGUGCAUUCCAAGAAGUUUUCUACGUGACAAGCUGGUUAGAGAGCUCUAUUCAAGUGAUCUUAGUGGCCAUGUUGGAUGGGACAAGACUAUCGCUAACCUGGAAGCUCGCUACUUUUGGCCACAACAAAAGAGAGAUGCUGGAAAGUUCGUUCAAAGGUGCCCUGUAUGUCAGACCUGCAAAGGCCAAGUCCAGAACACUGGGUUAUACAUGCCUUUGCCUGUUCCUGUUGCUCCAUGGGAGGACAUUUCUAUGGACUUCGUCUUGGGCUUGCCAAGAACAAGACGAGGAAGUGAUGAUGUAUUUGUGGCCGUGGAUAGAUUCUCUAAGAUGGCUCAUUUCAUCCCAUGCCGCAAGACAACGGAUGCUCAUCAUGUGGCAAACCUAUUCUUUCGAGAAGUGGUCAGACUUCAUGGAGUUACAAGGUCCAUUGUCUCAGACCGUGAUAGCAAGUUUCUUGCUGCAUUUUGGCUCACUUUGUGGAAGCAAUUCAACACUGAAUUGAAAUUUUCUAGCACUGCUCAUCCACAAACAGAUGGACAAGCGGAAGUGGUGAACAAGUUUUUGGGUAAUCUGAUUCGUUGCAUUUGUGGAGAAAGAAAGGGACAAUUGGAUUUGGCUUUAUCUCUUGCAGAAUUCUCCUACAAUAACUCCAAGCAUAGAUCCACAGGAAGGAGCCAUUUUUUCCAUUGUCUACACUAA